Molecule: ribosomal RNA, 471 nt
Filed under: uncultured bacterium
Lineage: Bacteria
Description: bacterial SSU rRNA
Rfam family: Bacterial small subunit ribosomal RNA
Source: RNAcentral
ACUCCUACGGGAGGCAGCAGUGGGAAUAUUGCACAAUGGGCGCAAGCCUGAUGCAGCCAUGCCGCGUGUAUGAAGAAGGCCUUCGGGUUGUAAAGUACUUUCAGCAGUGAGGAAGGUGGAGUCGUUAAUAGCGGCCUCAUUUGACGUUAGCUGCAGAAGAAGCACCGGCUAACUCCGUGCCAGCAGCCGCGGUAAUACGGAGGGUGCGAGCGUUAAUCGGAAUUACUGGGCGUAAAGAGCUCGUAGGCGGUUUGUCGCGUCUGCUGUGAAAUCCCGAGGCUCAACCUCGGGCCUGCAGUGGGUACGGGCAGACUAGAGUGUGGUAGGGGAGACUGGAAUUCCUGGUGUAGCGGUGGAAUGCGCAGAUAUCAGGAGGAACACCGAUGGCGAAGGCAGGUCUCUGGGCCACAACUGACGCUGAGGAGCGAAAGCGUGGGGAGCGAACAGGAUUAGAUACCCUGGUAGGCUCUG